RNAcentral lists this ribosomal RNA (465 nucleotides) under uncultured bacterium. Its description in RNAcentral is "partial 16S ribosomal RNA". It matches the Rfam family "Bacterial small subunit ribosomal RNA", at positions 28 to 507 of the family's 1533-position model. The record is from RNAcentral.
GACGAACGCUGGCGGCGUGCUUAACACAUGCAAGUCGAACGGAAAGGCCCUGCUUGCAGGGUACUCGAGUGGCGAACGGGUGAGUAACACGUGGGUGAUCUGCCCUGCACUUCGGGAUAAGCUUGGGAAACUGGGUCUAAUACCGGAUAGGAGCCAUCUUUAGUGUGGUGGUUGGAAAGUUUUUUCGGUGUAGGAUGAGCUCGCGGCCUAUCAGCUUGUUGGUGGGGUAAUGGCCUACCAAGGCGGCGACGGGUAGCCGGCCUGAGAGGGUGUACGGCCACAUUGGGACUGAGAUACGGACCAGACUCCUACGGGAGGCAGCAGUGGGGAAUAUGGCAAAAUGGGCGCAAGCCUGAUGCAGCGACGCCGCGUGGGGGAUGAAGGCCUUCGGGUUGUAAACUCCAUUCGCUAGGGACGAAGCUUUUUGUGACGGUACCUAGAUAAGAAGCACCGGCUAACUACGUG